Molecule: ribosomal RNA, 497 nt
Filed under: uncultured bacterium
Lineage: Bacteria
Description: partial 16S ribosomal RNA
Rfam family: Bacterial small subunit ribosomal RNA
Source: RNAcentral
GAUGAACGCUGGCGGCGUGCCUAAUACAUGCAAGUCGAGCGAACAGAUAAGGAGCUUGCUCCUUUGACGUUAGCGGCGGACGGGUGAGUAACACGUGGGUAACCUACCUAUAAGACUGGGAUAACUUCGGGAAACCGGAGCUAAUACCGGAUAAUAUUUCGAACCGCGUGGUUCGAUAGUGAAAGAUGGUUUUGCUAUCACUUAUAGAUGGACCCGCGCCGUAUUAGCUGGUUGGUAAGGUAACGGCUUACCAAGGCGACGAUACGUAGACGACCUGAGAGGGUGAUCGGCCACACUGGAACUGAGACACGGUCCAGACUCCUACGGGAGGCAGCAGUAGGGAAUCUUCCGCAAUGGGCGGAAGCCUGACGGAGCAACGCCGCGUGAGUGAUGAAGGUCUUCGGAUCGUAAAACUCUGUUAUGAGGGAAGAACAUACGUGGAAGGAAAUGUGGACGGCGUGACGGUACCUAAUCAGAAAGCCACGGCUAACUACGUG